RNAcentral lists this ribosomal RNA (434 nucleotides) under uncultured Clostridium sp. RNAcentral describes it as "partial 16S ribosomal RNA". It matches the Rfam family "Bacterial small subunit ribosomal RNA", at positions 341 to 792 of the family's 1533-position model. The record is from RNAcentral. Lineage: Bacteria; Bacillati; Bacillota; Clostridia; Eubacteriales; Clostridiaceae.
ACGGAAGGCAGCAGUGGGGAAUAUUGGACAAUGGGGGAAACCCUGAUCCAGCGACGCCGCGUGAGUGAAGUAGUAUUUCGGUAUGUAAAGCUCUAUCAGCAGGGAAGAAAAUGACGGUACCUGACUAAGAAGCACCGGCUAAAUACGUGCCAGCAGCCGCGGUAAUACGUAUGGUGCAAGCGUUAUCCGGAUUUACUGGGUGUAAAGGGAGCGUAGACGGCGAGGCAAGUCUGAAGUGAAAGCUCGGGGCUCAACCCCGGAACUGCUUUGGAAACUGUUUUGCUAGAGUGCAGGAGAGGCAAGUGGAAUUCCUGGUGUAGCGGUGAAAUGCGUAGAUAUUAGGAGGAACACCAGUGGCGAAGGCGGCUUGCUGGACUGUAACUGACGUUGAGGCUCGAAAGCGUGGGGAGCAAACAGGAUUAGAUACCCUGGUA